UGUGUAACAAGGUUUCCGUAGGUGAACCUGCGGAAGGAUCAUUA
Molecule: ribosomal RNA, 44 nt
Filed under: Phytophthora medicaginis x Phytophthora cryptogea
Lineage: Eukaryota; Oomycota; Peronosporomycetes; Peronosporales; Peronosporaceae
Description: partial 18S ribosomal RNA
Source: RNAcentral